UACGUAGGGGGCAAGCGUUGUCCGGAAUUAUUGGGCGUAAAGAGCGCGUAGGCGGUCCGAUAAGUCGGCUGUGAAAGUCAGGGGCUCAACCCUUGAAAGCCGGCCGAUACUGUCGGACUAGAGUCCGGAAGAGGCAAGUGGAAUUCCCGGUGUAGCGGUGAAAUGCGCAGAUAUCAGGAGGAACACCGAUGGCGAAGGCAGGUCUCUGGGCAUUAACUGACGCUGAGGAGCGAAAGCAUGGGGAGCGAACAGG
RNAcentral lists this ribosomal RNA (253 nucleotides) under uncultured bacterium. RNAcentral's name for it is "partial 16S ribosomal RNA". It matches the Rfam family "Bacterial small subunit ribosomal RNA", at positions 524 to 776 of the family's 1533-position model. The record is from RNAcentral.